UCUCCCCCCGUAUGAUACUCCUCCUCUCUUCUCCUCUAUCAAUCUCUCCCCCACUAGAGUUUUGAUGCCAUAACUCCGCGGCUUAUUAUUCAUUGAAAAUGAUUGUAUUUCGUGGACUAAGCGGCGUAGAUUCGUAGACUUUGAGAAAUCCUAAAUUGAGAUUGAAAGGUUAAAUCGACGUAGAUCCGGCUUCUGAAAACCCUAAAUCGAGCCAACAGGGGUUGCCACACUGCAACUAUUUCAAAAAUGGCAGAUAGCGAUAGCGGCCAUGAAAAAGAAAAAGAAAUUGAGAUGUUAAGGAAGGAGGAAAAGCUUCAGAAAAAACAAAUAGCCAAAGAGGUUCGAAGAAGAGAGGAAGAGAUUCAAAGAAGAGAGGAAGAGGUUCGAAGUUGGAUGGAAGAGAUUUGAAAUUGGAUGGAAGAGAUUCGAAAAAGAGAGGGCGAACUUGUCAAGAGGGAUUUGGGAGUCCAGCGUCAAUGCACAAAUGUUUGGCUCUAUUGUAUAAUUUGUAUCCUACUUUAUUUGUACUUCUCACGAUCGUAGUGAAUACCCACUAAUCUGGGCAACUUCGUGUAUAAAGCUUAUCACUUGUGAUAAUAUGUGCUUUAGAGUAGCUGUAGUCCAACAGUCUACAAAAUUUGUUGAACAAGUCUUUAUUCUGUAUUUUGGAAGAGUUGGGUCAGUUCUUUUGAAAAAGUAGGCAACUGACUUACAACUGAUCUUGGACACUGCUGAUUGUGUUUUUGGGCAUUAGUUCAUUGAAGCUAAUUUAUUAUAGAACAUUUGGAAA
Molecule: long non-coding RNA, 790 nt
Organism: Carya illinoinensis
Lineage: Eukaryota; Viridiplantae; Streptophyta; Magnoliopsida; Fagales; Juglandaceae
Exons: 3
Source: RefSeq, a predicted model, not a curated record